Molecule: ribosomal RNA, 268 nt
Filed under: uncultured Oscillibacter sp.
Lineage: Bacteria; Bacillati; Bacillota; Clostridia; Eubacteriales; Oscillospiraceae
Description: partial 16S ribosomal RNA
Rfam family: Bacterial small subunit ribosomal RNA
Source: RNAcentral
UUCGUCCAAGUGAAGUAGAGGACAGUGGCGGACGGGUGAGUAACGCGUGAGGAACCUGCCUUUCAGAGGGGGACAACAGUUGGAAACGACUGCUAAUACCGCAUGACACAUUGGGGUCGCAUGGCCUUGAUGUCAAAGAUUUAUCGCUGAAAGAUGGCCUCGCGUCUGAUUAGCUAGUUGGUGAGGUAACGGCCCACCAAGGCGACGAUCAGUAGCCGGACUGAGAGGUUGACCGGCCACACUGGAACUGAGACACGGUCCAGACUCC